AGAAUCAACGCUGGCGGCGUGCCUAACACAUGCAAGUCGAACGCGAAAGUCCCGCAAGGGGCAAGUAGAGUGGCAAACGGGUGAGUAACACGUGGGUGACCUGCCUUCGAGUGGGGGAUAACGUCCCGAAAGGGACGCUAAUACCGCAUGACAUCCUGCCUUUGAAUAGGCGGAGAUCAAAGCUAGGGAUCGUAAGACCUGGCGCUUGAAGAGGGGCCCGCGCCUGAUUAGCUAGUUGGUGAGGUAACGGCUCACCAAGGCAACGAUCAGUAUCCGGCCUGAGGACGGGCGACGGACACGA
RNAcentral lists this ribosomal RNA (301 nucleotides) under uncultured soil bacterium. RNAcentral describes it as "bacterial SSU rRNA". It matches the Rfam family "Bacterial small subunit ribosomal RNA", at positions 26 to 313 of the family's 1533-position model. The record is from RNAcentral.